Molecule: ribosomal RNA, 562 nt
Filed under: Escherichia coli
Lineage: Bacteria; Pseudomonadati; Pseudomonadota; Gammaproteobacteria; Enterobacterales; Enterobacteriaceae
Description: partial 23S ribosomal RNA
Rfam family: Bacterial large subunit ribosomal RNA
Source: RNAcentral
GUACACAAAAAUGCACAUAUUGUGAGCUCGAUGAGUAGGGCGGGACACGUGGUAUCCUGUCUGAAUAUGGGGGGACCAUCCUCCAAGGCUAAAUACUCCUGACUGACCGAUAGUGAACCAGUACCGUGAGGGAAAGGCGAAAAGAACCCCGGCGAGGGGAGUGAAAAAGAACCUGAAACCGUGUACGUACAAGCAGUGGGAGCCUCUUAAUGGGGUGACUGCGUACCUUUUGUAUAAUGGGUCAGCGACUUAUAUUCUGUAGCAAGGUUAACCGAAUAGGGGAGCCGAAGGGAAACCGAGUCUUAACUGGGCGUUAAGUUGCAGGGUAUAGACCCGAAACCCGGUGAUCUAGCCAUGGGCAGGUUGAAGGUUGGGUAACACUAACUGGAGGACCGAACCGACUAAUGUUGAAAAAUUAGCGGAUGACUUGUGGCUGGGGGUGAAAGGCCAAUCAAACCGGGAGAUAGCUGGUUCUCCCCGAAAGCUAUUUAGGUAGCGCCUCGUGAAUUCAUCUCCGGGGGUAGAGCACUGUUUCGGCAAGGGGGUCAUCCCGACUUACCAA